GGGGACGUAACAAAGCGACCCAGGAAUGCUUGGGCGUGCCUCCACCCACGCCGGCGUCGGCGGGCGUAUUUCGCCUCACAGUAGGUCGCCGCGACCCGUUGCUUUUGGGGACGUCGAAGGCCCGGACGGAUUGGUACCCUACCGGCUGGGGAUGCGGCUUCGGCUUCUCCUCUUGUCCGGUGGGCGAAACCGCCGGUGUCCUGGCUGCCCUGCGACGGUCGUAGAGACGAGCCCUCCCCAUUCGUGGGGGGCGGCUCUCGCGGCGUGCAAAAGGUCGGUGAUCCACCCGACCCGUCUUGAAACACGGACCAAGGAGUCUAACAUGUGUGCGAGUCAGUGGGCGCACUAAACCCAGAGGCGUAAUGAAAGUGACACGGGUUCGGCUGUCGCCUCGUGUGGCAGCCGGACUCAGGGCCGAUCCCUCACCGGUUGCCCUCGCCUCUCUCCCGCGUCUCGGUAAGCCGGGUGAGCUAUUUUCCCCGGCCAAUGCUGCGGGGCUCGGGGGGAGGCGGGGUUGCGAUGGUGUCCGUCAAAAAGAGCCUGCUGUUGCAGGGGGGCGCAGGCCCGGGACUUGCCAGGACGCCGCGAGACUGUCACUUUGCUGUGAGGCUCCAGGGCCGAUCAGCGGGUCAUGCGUGCAGUCGGCAAGUACCAUGAGCAGACAUGUUGGGACCCGAAAGAUGGUGAACUAUGCCUGGCCAGGAUGAAGCCAGAGGAAACUCUGGUGGAGGUCCGUAGCGAUUCUGACGUGCAAAUCGAUCGUCGGAGCUGGGUAUAGGGGCGA
Molecule: ribosomal RNA, 784 nt
Filed under: Cambarus monongalensis
Lineage: Eukaryota; Metazoa; Arthropoda; Malacostraca; Decapoda; Cambaridae
Also listed under: 3 other names
Description: eukaryotic LSU rRNA
Rfam family: Eukaryotic large subunit ribosomal RNA (bases 308-784)
Source: RNAcentral